AACAGGUACCCUAUCUCCAUAGGAUUCUACUUGUGAGUCAAUUCACUCGGACACAUUCACAAGGAAUAGUAAACUAAAUUUUGAGAAACACAAGAAGCCAAAUAACACUUGGCUGUUUAAUUAGUUGAUCACUUGGAUCGAAAUGCCCUAAAAAGCUUUGAAGAACGUUCCAUUUUAUCUUCGGGGGUUGCUUCAAGCUUGCUCCAUCUCGAUCCUCUACUUUUAAUCAUUGAUUUGGGUUCCAUAUAUUUUUUUUUUGCUUCCCACUUUCUUUAACUUUCAUCCUUGGGUGUCUUCAUCUUUGACGAAAACACAAGGGAUUCCAUGUCUUUAUUUUUUUCAAGCUAGCUACAUUGGUGCAAGAGAAAGCAAAAGAAACCGUACCCAAAGAACCAUUCUUUUUUCUUCAUCUAUAUGGUCUCUCACUCCCUUUUGCUUUUUUCUAAGCAGGUAAAUGUGGUUGGGAUGGAAGAAGAAAGAUUAAGAAGUUGUUAAAUGGAACUAUGGAAGAGUUUUAGUUAAUCUGGAUAUUAAGAUUAAGAUGAGAAUGGCAGAGAGUAAUUUGCACGCUUGGAUGCUAUUCUUGAGAAGGUAGAGAGUGACAAAAGAUAGAGAUGGGGAAGCAGCACAUGAUGACUGAAUAUUCAUGGGUGGAGACAGGGGUGAAGUGGGCCUUGUUCUACUUUAGGGCAAAAGUGAAACAGCUUAGAAAAUUCCUCAAUUAUUCUGUGUUGUUUCUUUGCGCGUCUUUGGCAGCAUGUUGCAUGCGAACCUACAACAGCAAUAGUCAACAGUUGGGCGCCAGGGAAAAGGAGUAGUAAUUAUUUGAGACAUCAUUUUAUUUAACCUUUACUUCUCUACUCGCAUAUUCGGAAGUCUAAAAUAUGAGUUGUAUUGUGAACUCAAAAAUUGUACAAGUAUAUGUUCGAAUGGGCUAUAAGUCAAGAAAGACAUUGCAACGGAUAAAAAUAGAGGUGCCUGACAUAAUUCUUAACAAUGUAUACAUAUAUUUUCAUUUAUUCAUUCAUUCCGUAAAAGCUAUAAGUUCA
Long non-coding RNA from Rosa rugosa (rugosa rose), 1049 nucleotides. RefSeq lists it as uncharacterized. NCBI's taxonomy places the organism in Eukaryota, Viridiplantae, Streptophyta, Magnoliopsida, Rosales, Rosaceae. The transcript is spliced from 2 exons. The record is from RefSeq and is a predicted model, not a curated record.